AUGGACUUCACCCAAUGCAAGUCGUCUCUCGGCGACCCCUUUACGGAGAAGGAGGUCACUGAUGCCAUUGCUCAGCUCCCAAAGGACAAGGCGCCCGGCCCCGAUGGCUUCUCCGUGGCUUUUUUUAAAAGCUGCUGGGACACCAUCAGGGGAGAUGUCAUGGCUGCGAUUAAUAAUUUUUCGGACCUGCGUGCGGAGCACUUCCACUGGGUCAAUUCAACCAACAUUGUGCUUCUUCCCAAGAAAAAGGGCGCCGAGAGGAUCUCAGAUUUUCGGCCUAUUAGCCUCAUCCACGCGAUCACCAAAAUUGUGGCCGAGAUGAUGGCCUCGCGGCUCGCGCCCGUUAUGCACCUGCUUGUCAUUAGGUCCCAGAGCACCUUCAUCAAGACGCGGAGCAUCCAUGACAACUUUCUUUACGUUCGGAAUUUGGCGCGCAGGCUGCACCGUUUGAAAAAGCCCUCCCUUCUCUUCAAGCUAGACAUCAAGAAAGCUUUUGAUUCCAUCCGCUGGGAUUAUCUGCUUGACCUCCUUUGCUGUCGUGGUUUUCCGGUGAGGUUUAGAGACAUGAUUGCUGGCUUGUUGAGAACGUCGACCUCUAGAGUUUCACUCAACGGGGUUCUAGGGGAUCCCAUCCAGCACCAUAUUGGUAUCCGUCAGGGAGACCCCCUCUCCCCGCUGUUGUUUGUGCUUGCCAUAGACCCACUGCAGAACCUUCUAGACAUUGCCACAUGCAAGAACCAGCUGCACCCGGUGGGCGGCCGGGCAGCUUGCCUCUGCACCUCACGUUACGCCGACGACGUGGCCAUUUUUGUGGCUCCUAUUCGUGAGGACAUCAUGCGCUUGACAGCCAUCCUGCAUGGAUUUGGGGAGGUUACGGGGCUCGUUACCAAUUUGGAGAAGACUCUUGUGGCUCCCAUUCGUUGUGCUGGCAUCGAUCUCGACGCGGUGCUUGACAGCUUCCCGGUUAAGCAGGCCACUUUCCCCAUGAAGUACCUCGGGCCACCAGCUCCGAAGGAUUGA
Molecule: ribosomal RNA, 1020 nt
Filed under: Triticum aestivum (bread wheat)
Lineage: Eukaryota; Viridiplantae; Streptophyta; Magnoliopsida; Poales; Poaceae
Description: partial small subunit ribosomal RNA
Source: RNAcentral